CACAUAUAAUUGUUACUCCAGAAGAUGGUAUUUAUGGCUGGAAAUUUACUAGGGAAGCUAUAUUUCCUUACCUUGAAGAUAUUCCAGAUCCCGAAGUUAACUGGAUACCUUGCUCUGACCCUGAAAGGUUUGAAAGAGCUAAAGUUCAAACAAGACUAAGCUGUAUAGCAAAAAACAAAUUUAUUUAUGUGUUGCAAAUAUUGGAGAUAAAAAGCCAUGCAACCUCUUCACUGCUGGAAGCCCAGAAGAUGGUCAUUAUCAUUAUAAUACAGCUGUUGUCUUUGACUCUGACCACAAGGUACCACAAGUACAACCUUUUUCUAGGGGAGAUCCAGUUUAAUGUACCACCUGAACCUGAGAUGGUGACCUUUGAGACACCAUUUGGAAAGUUUGGAAUCUGCUUCGAUAUACUUUUCUACAAGCCAGCAGCAGCCCUGGUGGUUGAUCACCAAGUGGGUACUAUACUGUUUCCCACAGCAUGGAUGAAUGUUCUACCUCAUUUAACUAUAUAACUAUAGAAUUUCAUUCAGCAUCGGCUAUGGGUAUGGGCAUUCAUUUAAUUUCUGGCAACACUCAUGACACCAGCAAGAGAAUGCCAGGUGAGUAAAAUAUAUCAUAUGGGCAUUUUGAAUAAUAGCUGUUCAAUACAAUAGAAUUGCUGUUAAAUAAAAUUCAUAAUUGAAAGGCAGCUCACCUUAAAAUUAACUUUUAGCAUCAUGUAAACAAUGGUAUCCUAAGACAAUUGGCAAUUAAACUUGUUUGUUGUUAUUAUUUAACUAUUUGUUCUGCAAUUUACACAACUUUUAUUUUGUUGCUAGAAUCCCAUUUAUGAUAGCAACCAGGCAGUUAUUUGAAUGGCAGACAAAGAGGAGGAAGUAAGAACAGAAAUGCAAGUGAUAACAUAAUCAUUAAUUAAUAAUUAAUAUGGAUUCUGGUAAGAUGGGUCAGUGAUGCCAGAAACUGGAUUGCAUUUGAAAACAAAGACUGAAGAAAGGCAAAAAUAAAAAAAUACAUAAUAAAACUAUUGUUCCCCCUAUUUUUCCUUAAUUUUGUCUAUACUACAGCCUACUGAAAAUAUAAGAUUGAUGCACGAUUGAAAGAAAAUGUAGCUCUCUGUUACUAAUAUGAUAUGGAACAAACAGGCUAAUGUUAAAUAAAAAGUUUAAAAGAAAUACAUAAUACAUACAUACAUAAUACAUAAUUAA
Molecule: long non-coding RNA, 1205 nt
Organism: Xenopus laevis (African clawed frog)
Lineage: Eukaryota; Metazoa; Chordata; Amphibia; Anura; Pipidae
Exons: 3
Source: RefSeq, a predicted model, not a curated record